Long non-coding RNA from Orcinus orca (killer whale), 9783 nucleotides. RefSeq lists it as uncharacterized. Lineage: Eukaryota; Metazoa; Chordata; Mammalia; Artiodactyla; Delphinidae. The transcript is spliced from 5 exons. The record is from RefSeq and is a predicted model, not a curated record.
UCUAUUUUUAUUAACACCAGUACUAUUGCUACCUUGCAUCCCCAAAGUAUGCAUACCAUUUUGAUAUUCUUGGGUGGCUUAAAACAUUCUUUUCCUACACCUCAAGAAGUCAGCAGUGUUCCUGUUGGAGAAACACGUCUCAUCUAAUAAAUAAAACAUAACAUAUAUAAAAUCUCUUUAGGGAACCAUUUCCAGAAAAAGAAUCAUUUUCCAUGAAAAGUAUGAUAGAUAAUGUACUUAAUGGCACUGCCAAACAUAUGUGAUAAAAUUGUACAACCAAGAAAAUUACAUUAAAUACCAUUAACCAAGAUUCACAAUUUGCUAUAUGAUCAAUGCUCAUCAAAGCUAUUUUUCCUUGGCUGAAAAAUCAUUUCUAUCAUUUAUAACCAUUUAAAAUUUCAGCUGGUGUGUACUUUGUCUUGUAUUCUAAAUCUAAAGAGAAAAGUCCGAUUUUAACCCCCUUUUAGUUCAAUUGUCAAUAUAAUUGCUCUGGACAUUAACUAUACAAUUACAUGUUCAUCCUUUAACUUUCAUUGCUUGAUGAAUUCCUUUGGGAAGAAUAUAUUAAGAGACAAACUUUCCAGAUUGAUAUAAUCCACUCACAGAAAGUCCACUUAGUAAUACAGAGGACUUGGGAAGUGUUUUGAUAUUUUUUCCUUUCUCUAUCAAUCAGGAUCCAAUCAGGGGAUAGAAAUCACAAAGCAAUUUGAAAAGGGAAUGUUUAAUAUAAAGAAUUGUUAACUAUAACAGAGUAUUUUCUCUAAAGGAGUAAAGAGUGCUCUAAGGAACACCUACACUGGGACUGAGGGAGAGUACCCAAGGGAGAGAUAAAUCUCAAGGCUUGGAUUUGGACCUCAUUGGAGAAGGUAUGAUUGCAGACCUGUGAUGGCAGAAAAGGUGAAUGGGAUAACUCACUUUAGAGCAUGUCCACAGUUGUUGAGCAAGCAGGAAAAACCCCUUCAGGAUGCAGGAGAAGAAAACCAUUGCAAGUACUGACAAACAGGAAAGGUGCUUUUAGAUUUCGGGCAAUAUGAAGCUGGGAAUCAACCACUGGCACACUUAGAAGCUUCACUGGAAAUUCACUUGAAAUUACCACAGUUUCAGACUACAAAACACACUACCAGAUCUCAGUGGGAAGCAGUCUAAGGGGCUGCUACUGAUACUUGAGGGCGAUGUAGGUGGCCAUCUUCUCCCUGUGUCCUCACAGGACAGAGGCAGCAGAGAGCUCCCCGGGGCUGCUUUUAUAUGGACACUAACCACAUUUGUGAGGCUGCCACCCUCAUGACCUAAUCAUCUCCUAAAGGCCCCAUCUCCAAAUAACAUCACACUGAGGAUUAGAUACGAAUUUUGAGGGGAUGCAAACAUCCAGUGUAUAGUAUUGUGCCCCAGCCCCUGAAAAUUCAUGUCUUCCUUGCAUGCAAAAUACAUUCAUUCCAUCCUAAUAGCUCCAGAAGUAUUAACUCAUUCCAGCAUUAAAGUCUAAGUCCAAAGUCUCACUUAAAUAUCAUCAAAGGCAGAUAUGGCUGAGACUCCAGGGAUGAUUCAUCCUGAAACAAAAUCCUCUCCAGCUGUGAACUUGUGAGAUUAAACAUGUCACAUGCUUCCAAAAUGUAAUGGUAGCAUAAGUAUAAGAUAGACAUUCUCUUUCCAAACGGGAGAAAUAGGAAAGCAGAAAGGAGGAAUAGGUCCUGAGGACGUCUAAAACUCAGCAGGGCAAAUGCUAUUAGACCUUAAGGCUUGAGAAUAAUCCUCUUUAGCUCGAUGCGUGGUCCUGCUCCUGCUGCUUUGCUGGACAGCAACACAGGGGCUUAGGUGUCCUUUUAAGUUUAGGCGGAGGCAGCCACACACCCACAGCUUGUGCGCUCUGCACGCUGGCAGAGGUGGACUGUGUGGACACCGCCAGUGUUUCCUGCCUGUGUCCCUCACAGGGUGGGUCCCGUGGCCUGCGUUGUGCUGGGGCCCGCUGAAGCUGUACCCAGGGCAGCUGAAGAUCGCAGGCACCAGAGCGUGGAGACGGGAACCCUCUAGGCCAGGUGUGCCAGACAGUGAGCUGAAGUCCCACGGGCGUUGGCGGCACCUUUGCUAACAAUGUCACGUGUUAAUCAACUAUACCCCGAUACAAAAAAAAAUUAAAAACAACAAAAACAAUUUCAUGUGGCUCGAUCUAAACUACAAUUGAUAGAUGGAUUUCAAAAGAUCUCAAAUACAAGGUAAAUAUAUCACAACAAAAACAAAGAAACACCACCACAAAACACUGUGUUUUUAGAUCUAGUAAAAAAACAAAUUAGAAAAAUAAAAUUAAAAUCUCUACAAUGAAAUGGUGGUAUAAUAUUACAUGCCUAGGAAUAAAUACAAAGACUUUAAGGCCUCUAUGUUUAUAAACUAAACAUAACCCUAAAAUAAUUAAGUAAAAUCUCAGUGAAUGGUUCCAAUAUGCCAUGGUCAUUAUAACAAAGACUCAAUGUUAUAAAGACGUCAAUUUUCCCCAACUGAUCAUUACUGUAAAUGAAAAACUAAUUAUAUUCUAACAUUUUUUGGUUGGUAAAAUCACUUUUAAAUUUUACAUAGAAAUGCAAAGGUCCAGGAACAGCUAGGACACUCUUGAGGAAAAAUAUAUCAAGAUUUGAUAUAUAAAGACUUUUAUGAAACUACAGAUAGUUCAGUGAAGAAGUAUAGAGAAGGCAGAAACAGAACUACACAUAUAUGGUCACCUAGUCUGGUAAAGGUGCCAUUGAAGUCCAGUGGGGGGAAAGGUGAGCCUUUCAAAAAUGGUGUUUAAUAAUUGGCUAUCAAUACAUUUAAAAAAACCCAACUUGAUUCCCUAUGUCAAACUAAGUCAAUGUCAAGUGAAUCAUACACCUAAAUGUGAAAAAAUAAUUAAAAAUUUAGAAGAAUACUAAGAGAUUAUCUUCACGGCCCCGGGAGAGUUAAUAUUUCUUGAGAGAUACAAAAGCAUUAGUCACAUAGGUAAACAUCGACAAACAGAACUACAUUAAAAGUAAAUCUUUUGUUUAUCAAAAGGAAUAAUAGGGCAAAUGGGAGACAAUUAGAGAAGAUAUUUGCAAAACAUAUAUCUAAUUAAAAACUCAUGCAAAGAAUAUACAAGAACUCCUACAAAUGAUUAAUAAGGGCAUCCAAUUAUAUUGUCCAAAGACCUGAACAAUAACUUCAUAAAAGAGGAAAACUGAAUUGCCAUGAGGCUUAUGAAAAACUAAAAACAAAACAAAAAAACCUCAAUGUCAUUGGCAUUAGUCAUUAAGGAAAUUAACCUUAAAAUCACAAUAAAAUACCAAUAAACUUUCAUCAGAAUAUCUAAAAAAAUUUUAAAUGAUAGUACCACAUUAUUUGCAAGAAAGUAGAAUAAGUGGAAUGCUCAUACACUGCUGGAGGGUAUAUACAUUUGUGCAAACACUUUGGAAAACUGUUUAGCACUCUCUUAAGUAUAUACCAGUAAUUCCACUCUUAGUCAUAACCUCAACAGUAAGGCGUAACCAUGGGCACCACUAGACUUAUAAACAAGGUGUCUAGCAACAUUAUUCAUAAAAAUUGAAAAUUGAAAACAACCCAAAUGCACCUCAAUAUUUUAGCAAAGAAAAAAGAUAUAUCUUGAUAUAUUUAUGCAGUGGGAUAAGCAGUCUAUAACAGUAAAAAAUUCAAUUAUGACUAAUGAAAAACAUGGAUGGAUCUCAUAGUCAUAUCAUUGACUGAAUAAUGCAAUUAUAUUUGUCCACUUUUAUAAAGUUCAAAAAUAGGAAAAACCAUGAUGACAGAAGUCAGAACAAUGUGAUUUUGGAGGGAAGUUAAGGAUAGGGUUACAUCAUGAGAGAUUCAGGAUCUAAGUAGACAUCAGUUGGGUGCGUCGAUUUUGUGAAAUUUACUACUCUGAUGCUUAAACUCUGUACGCUUAAUUGUAUAUUUUUUAAUACUAAAUUUUAAGAAAAAUUUAAAUAUUGUUUGAAGUAAAAAAUAAUAGAACAACUUGAGAGAGAGAAGAAAAACAAACAAAAAUCUUGGCUUCUCUUUUUCUCAGUCCUUCCCAUCACUGGCCUCAAGUGCUCCUCUGGUUUCCUAUGGCUCUGUCAAUAGAAGAGUACCCUGAUUUGGGUUAAAUCCUUUUGCUGUACUAAUAAGAACACUGAAACCCAGAAAUAUUAAAUGCAGGAGUCAUUCCCUCACAGUAUGCCAAGGACCCCAGUUUUAAAUUUUUCCUCCCAAUCUAUACCCAGGAGAUAAACAUUCCCUGUUAACUAUCCUUACUUUCACACUUAAAGAGGACAUUUUAAUUUUUUCAUAAACUUUCUUAACCUCAUCAGUUUCUCCUAGGAGAUUCUUGACUUGCUGAUUAAUUAGCACUUACCGAAAAGAGGCUUCAUGGGACCCCUCUGCUUUCUCCCCUUUGGAUUAACAAUAAAUUGACAAAAACUGUUUAAAAGAAUCAUGCCUUUUGUGACAGAAGAAUUGUCUUUUAAGAUACAUUCAGAAAUAAUACAACAGAAUAUGGAACAUUAUUUUCCAACUUGGGUGCAAAAUAUAUAGUGAUUUAAGCACUUUGAGUUGAACAUUUUGGGGAGCCCUUGGUUUAGAUACAACAAUUUUUAUCUUCUGCUCCUUUUUUUUUUUUUACCUUUUGUCUAUUUUUCCCACUAGAUUUGGGGAAAAAAUAAAAAAGAAUGUCACAAUGUCAGUAUCACCUUGAAUUCCCCAGGAUGGCAGCUUAAAAGCACUUUCAUAACCUUACGUUAGACGUUCAGAAUAUCAUUGGUGAUGUAUUUUCAGAGGCCAUGUGAGUUUUUAUUUCAGAUAUGGAACUAUGGAUUUUGACUAAAGGAUAGAGAAUGAAAUUUGUUAAAAACUUCCUGAUUAACCCCAUGUGAGUUCUCUGUCUUCAGUGGAAAAUCCCUUCCCUAACUUGCCAAACUGUCAGAUGGCAACCUUAUUUAGAGCCCUCUCUGUUGAAUGGUGAUCAGUUGAAAUAGGACAAUUUUAUGAUCUUUAGUAUGGAAGAUGUUUGGGAUUUGUGUGGCUUUGGAAGAGUGACUGGAGACAAUGACAUAAUGCUCAUUUUUAGUAGAAAUCCCCAGGGAUACUGCUGUGCAUGUAAGCAUGUCUAUGUGAUAUGUAGCCAGAGGAAUAGGAAAAAUAACUAUCUGAUCUUUUAUUGAUUUCUCAACUGUGAGUUCCAAUGUAACUACGUUUCUGAUAGGUAUAGAAACAUUGGAGAUGAUUACGUUUUCCCAGUCAUCUCCUGAAAAUUAUGAAUUACACCUCCUGCAAAAUGUGGAAUGUUAGCAUGUUUCGUUACUGUGUGUGCAAAUGGAUAAAAUUUACUAUAGUAAUAUGAUUGUUUCCUAAGAUACUGAUUCUCCCCAAAUUCCUCUCUCCACUGCACUCACUAGUGCCCCCUGGUGGGGAAGGACAAACCUGUAAAAUGUCAAUAGUUUGCCUUUGCUGCUCUUACUGUUUGAUUGCCCUUUGUGACCAGGCAUUGUUUUCCUCUCGCUCAUUAUCCCAUGCCCAAGCAGAUGCCUCCUCUGUACCAGUCCUCAAACUUUUAAGAUAAUAUUUGACAGUGAGGUAUUAUUUAUAAGGACCGAAGGCAGUAUUUCUAAAAGGUUAUUGUACAUAAGCAUCACUAAAGAGCACUGUUAAGGUACAGAUUCCUGGGUCCCAACUCAGAGACUUUGCUUGAAUAGGUAAAUAGUAUUUCUUAGGAACCUCCAAUUUUAUCAAACUGUAAUCUCUGGAAACAUUUACAUAUGCAGGGAUCCCUUAGGUCAGGUUUUCAAGAUCUGAUAGCUAUAUGGUCUAUAUAAGGUCUCCUUCUUCAAACUCUGUAAGCAAUUGCCUCUCUGCUUCCCCCAAAGGCAAGCCAGUCCUCUCCUCAUUAUCUUUCUCACUGAGCCAUAAAAGUUAGGAGAUGCUUUUAUAGUCAUCUACUCACAGGUAUUCUAAGAGUCAUUUAGUCAUUCAACAAUAUUGAGUCCCUACUGUGUGCAGGCUCCUCUAGUUAUCUGGGUUACAUCAGUAAAUAGAACAUUACAAUUUCUGUCCCCAUGGAUAUUUCUUUCAAGAAGGAGAGAGAGACAAUGAGCAAAGCAUACUAAAUAAGUAAACUUUAUAUUAUGUUAUGUAAGUGCUGUGGAAAAAAGGAAAUGGAGAGUAAGGUAAGGAGGCUGAAGAAUGUGUGUAUGGUGGGACACGAUGAAAUUGUAAAUGGCAUGGUAAGACUAAGCCUCACUGAGAAAGUGACAUUUAAACAAAGCUUUGAAAAAGGCAGGGGAGGGAGGUAUGUGGGUAUAUGGGAAAGAGUAUUCCAGGGAGAGGGAGCAGUGGGGCAGACGCCUUAAGGAAAGAUUGUGCCUAUAGAAAAGGAAUGCUAGGAUGGUUGGUGUGUCUGGUGUGGACUAAGCAAGGAGGGCAGUAGUUUGUAAGGACUUAAGUAGAGAAACAGGAAGCAGAUCCCAUAAGGUCUUUGGAUCUAUUGUAAGAACUUGACAUUUACUCUUAAUGAUACUGAGGCCCAUUAAAAUGCUUUAAGCAGAGGAGUGACACUUUCUGUCUUAAAUUUUAAAAAGAUCACUCUGGCUGUUGUGUCAAGAGGAAACACUGGAAGGGCAAAGUUGGAAGCAGGCAGAUCAUUUAUGCAGCUAUUUGCAGGCAAGAGAUGAUUGCAGUGGAGAUGCUGAGAAAUUGUUGGAUUAUAUUUUUGCAUUUUGAGUAUAGAAUCCACAGUAUUUCAUGAAAAAAUGAAUGUGGCGUGUGAGAGAAAGAAAAGAGAAAAAUAUGACUCCAUGUUUCUGCGUUUCACACCUGGAAGGAUAAAGCAGCAAAUUCAAUGCAUUUGAUGGGAAUAAAUAAAGAAUUCAGUCCUGGAGUUACUGAGGUUUGCGAUAUCUGUUAAUUUCAGAGUGGUGGCUUUAGGGAUGCAGUGGAUGUAAGUACCUACAUUUCAGAAGAGAGUUCUGAACUAAAAAUACAAAUAUGGGACUUAUCACUAUUUAGAGAGCAUUUAGAGGUAUAAAAGUGGAUGUGAGUGCAAAGAUAGUGAGUUUACACAGAGGAGAAGAAAGGAUUAAGACUGAAUCCUGAGGUGCUGUUGGAGAAGGUCAUCGAGAGGAUGUGACCAGUGGUUGACCCGAGAGCUAGACCCGGGAAAUGAGAGGCUCCUCACCCACCCACCCCCACCCCCGUCCUUGGGAUGCACAUUCUGCCCACGGUCCCCACAGUGGGAGCCCUUUUCAAAGACGGAGUUUUGAGAGAGCACUGUGUUGCUGAGACCAUCUGGAUGGUGUGUGUGACUAAACCCAGGCAAGGCCUCUACAUAAACUUUCAGGAUUCUGGUGGACAGGUGUCGGGAUCUACUCGUCGUGAUGGCCCAAGACAAACUUCAUAUGUAACCUUCCCUGCUUAUUUUUCAAGUUUUAAGACUGUGCACAUAAAUUGGAUGCAUUCCAGGGAACAGAGCAUUAAGUGAAUCAGAAUUACAUGGGGUUGUUGUUCAAUUCUCAUUUUUUAGAUGUAUUUCCAGUACUGAAAAUUAGAAGUCCCUCAUCUUUAAUUCUGUGGAUUUUUGACGUACUUGGGCUGUAGUUUCUUCCAACUAACAUUCAAUGAAUAGUCGACCUGUCCUAAGAGAUCUCAGUGAUGUUCAUCCUAACCUUCACAGCAUCAAACAACCUUCAACAAUCUCAAUGCACCUGCUGAUUUUUGUCCUCUAUUUCCUAGGACAGUCUAUUGAAUGCACCUUGAGAAUCUCUAAAUAUUGUUGCGUGUGUUUUUAACAUUAAACAUAUUAGUCUUAGUAUCAUUUUUGGCAUUUCUUCUUUAGCAUUAUUAUUCAUAAAUUAUGAAUCAACCAUUAUGGAUCAAUAAUACUAGUAGAAUACCAAAUAAAUGUAAGAAAGAGAGGACCCUGUAUUGAAUGAACACUAUACAUUGCUGACCAUACUUAUCUUGGAUAAGUAGAGUAGCCAAAAUUUUGGCUGAAAAUAUUGACCCUAUGGUGCUCUGGUAAUGCUCAUCAAUAGAGAGUGGAGAACACCACCUGCUUUACACAUUCUUAUUGGCUGAAAGCUCAUGAUAGCCCCCUUUUACCACCAUAAAAUAUACUUAACAAUAUGCAGUAAUACAGUAAUGGAUUUUUUCCCUUAUGUGUGUUUGGGUCUAUCAGAAAAAUAUAAAUGCCAAGUGGUUAGCAUUAAUAAAUGAGGUAUGCAUAUCAUGGUUUAUUACUAUACCUAGUUAUCAAAGACAAGGAAAUUUACAAAAGGAGAAAAUAAAAGUUGGCCGAGCGCCUACUCUAUGCCAAAUACUGUGUAAUACAGAUUAUGUCUUUUGUGUCACUUGAUCUUUGCAAAAUUCCUGAGUGAUGGAUAUGCCUGUCUCUACUUCACAGGUAAGAAAAAUAACUAAGAAAUAUUAUGUAAUUUGCUGAAAGUGUGUUAGAGACUCAUCUGAAAUUUAAACCUAGGUCCUUCUGAAUCCAGAUCCCCUGCUUUUUCCAUGACAGCAUGUUUUGUGGGAAGACUAUGUAGUUAUCUUGAGUCCUAUGAAUUUCUACAUAUUUUCCUUUGGCUUUGCAAGAAAAAGGCAUUGACGGAGGAGGAAUAGGAGUGGGUUGAGGAGGACAAAGGAAUGAGGAGAAGAAGAAAGAUUGAGAGGAAGAGAGAGAGGAAGAAGGAACAAACCCACUCAAGCUGUCAGCCAACAUCAGGAAGGACUAGUGAAAAGACCUAGAGGCAAGGGCUUAAAAUAGCCUCUGGGAACCAAGAUAGAAGCACAAACAUUAGCCAGUGGCUGAGUCUACUGCCAUGAGGAUUAAGAACAAAAGGAUAUGGAAUUGUUUUCCACACGUUUGGUGAGGGGAAGAAAAAGAACAAAUGAAUAUGCAAAACAAGUGUGAAUAAAUGAACAAGAUACAUAAAAGUUAUAGUCCUUUGAAGUGCUGCUCACCAAGGAGAUUAUAAGGUGGGAAGAAAGAGAGGAUGAAUGAACGCAUGAGCAAUCUUCAUCAUAAGGAGAAACAGCUCCGAGCACACUUCAUGCUGAAAGCAGAUGGGGGAAGGUAGACAGAAGCUGUACAUGUGUUCAAAUUUUCAGUAUCAUUGGUUUUAUGUUUUGAAAGAUCACAGAAGUACUCUGUGCCCAAGUAUGGACAUCUGUAGAAUUACAUAGGGACUGAGUAAGAGGAUAAUUAGACUAUAUGUAAAUACCCAGUGUAUAGUAUUUAAAAGUUGAUUGGGGGGAAAAUGUCUCAUCUUUGUAUAUAAAAAAUAAUGAUGUAUUUUUGUCUGUCAGAAUCUACAUGAUGAUUGAGAUGUGCAGAUGGAUAGACUGUAGGAAGAAAAAAAGGGCAGCUCUAAAAUAUAGAGAAUGAACAGACUUACUGCUGAAAAACAAGUGAAUGAUGAAAAUUGAGAAAAUUUGUAGUAAUGAUUAGACCAUAUGGAGUAAAGUAUCUACUUUUAUUAGAGAAAAUUUUCUUCUGAUAUAAGGACAAUUGCUCUUAUCUGAGAAGAAAACAUGUACACCAGCUGAACUUGGAAAUUUCCUUUUUGUCUUAUAAUGUAAUAGCAUCAACGUAUCAUGUUUUUCUUAAAACUGUGUAUUUGUAUUAAUAUGUUGCAAUUUGAAAAUAACCUUCACAUGUAAUUUUUUUCAUAUAAUCUCUGUGAUUUAUGUAAGGCAAAUAUUAUCCUUAUCUUGUAAAUAAAAACACCCAACAUUAGUAGUCUGAGUGAUUUGUACUAUAUUGUGAAGCGUGAAAGUGGUAGAAAAUAAAUA